RNAcentral lists this ribosomal RNA (497 nucleotides) under uncultured bacterium. Its description in RNAcentral is "partial 16S ribosomal RNA". It matches the Rfam family "Bacterial small subunit ribosomal RNA", at positions 28 to 507 of the family's 1533-position model. The record is from RNAcentral.
GAUGAACGCUGGCGGCGUGCCUAAUACAUGCAAGUCGAGCGAACAGACGAGGAGCUUGCUCCUCUGACGUUAUCGGCGGACGGGUGAGUAACACGUGGAUAACCUACCUAUAAGACUGGGAUAACUUCGGGAAACCGGAGCUAAUACCGGAUAAUAUAUUGAACCGCAUGGUUCAAUAGUGAAAGACGGUUUUGCUGUCACUUAUAGAUGGAUCCGCGCCGCAUUAGCUAGUUGGUAAGGUAACGGCUUACCAAGGCAACGAUGCGUAGCCGACCUGAGAGGGUGAUCGGCCACACUGGAACUGAGACACGGUCCAGACUCCUACGGGAGGCAGCAGUAGGGAAUCUGCCGCAAUGGGCGAAAGCCUGACGGAGCAACGCCGCGUGAGUGAUGAAGGUCUUCGGAUCGUAAAACUCUGUUAUUAGGGAAGAACAAAUGUGUAAGUAACUAUGCACGUCUUGACGGUACCUAAUCAGAAAGCCACGGCUAACUACGUG